GGUCCCGUAGCUCAGCAGGAUAGAGCGACGGAUUCCUAAUCCGUAGGUCACAGGUUCGAAUCCUGUCGGGAUCACCA
Molecule: transfer RNA, 77 nt
Filed under: Nitratireductor sp.
Lineage: Bacteria; Pseudomonadati; Pseudomonadota; Alphaproteobacteria; Hyphomicrobiales; Phyllobacteriaceae
Also listed under: 2 other names
Description: tRNA-Arg
Rfam family: tRNA
About the family: Transfer RNA (tRNA) molecules are approximately 80 nucleotides in length.
Source: RNAcentral